GAUGAACGCUGGCGGCGUGCCUAAUACAUGCAAGUCGAGCGAACGGAUAAGGAGCUUGCUCCUUUGAAGUUAGCGGCGGACGGGUGAGUAACACGUGGGUAACCUACCUAUAAGACUGGAAUAACUUCGGGAAACCGGAGCUAAUGCCGGAUAACAUUUGGAACUGCAUGGUUCUAAAGUAAAAGAUGGUUUUGCUAUCACUUAUAGAUGGACCCGCGCCGUAUUAGCUAGUUGGUAAGGUAACGGCUUACCAAGGCAACGAUACGUAGCCGACCUGAGAGGGUGAUCGGACACACUGGAACUGAGACACGGUACAGACUCCUACGGGAGGCAGCAGUAGGGAAUCUUCCGCAAUGGACGAAAGUCUGACGGAGCAACGCCGCGUGAGUGAUGAAGGUUUUCGGAUCGUAAAACUCUGUUAUUAGGGAAGAACAAAUGUGUAAGUAACUGUGCACAUCUUGACGGUACCUAAUCAGAAAGCCACGGCUAACUACGUGCCAGCCGCCGCAGUAA
This 513-nucleotide ribosomal RNA is filed under the name uncultured bacterium. Its description in RNAcentral is "partial 16S ribosomal RNA". It matches the Rfam family "Bacterial small subunit ribosomal RNA", at positions 28 to 523 of the family's 1533-position model. The record is from RNAcentral.